Molecule: ribosomal RNA, 760 nt
Filed under: uncultured bacterium
Lineage: Bacteria
Description: bacterial SSU rRNA
Rfam family: Bacterial small subunit ribosomal RNA
Source: RNAcentral
GCAGUCGAGCGAAGCUUUUCAGUAGUUUACUACAGAAAAUGACUGAGCGGCGAACGGGUGAGUAACGCGUGAGCAAUCUACCUUAGUUACAGGGAUAGCCCGAGGAAACUCGGAUUAAUACCUGAUAUUCUUUAUUUCUCGCAUGAGAAUAAAAGGAAAGGUCAGCCGGACUAAGAUGAGCUCGCGUUCUAUCAGCUAGUUGGUGAGGUAAAAGCUUACCAAGGCUACGACGGAUAGCUGGUCUGAGAGGACGAUCAGCCACACUGGGACUGAGACACGGCCCAGACUCCUACGGGAGGCUGCAGCAGGGAAUAUUGUGCAAUGAACGAAAGUUUGACACAGCGACACCGCGUGUGGGAUGACGGAUCUAGGUUUGUAAACCACUUUCAGGAGGGAAGAAAAUGACGGUACCUCCACAAGAAGCCCCGGCCAACUACGUGCCAGCAGCCGCGGUAAUACGUAGGGGGCGAGCGUUGUCCGGAUUUAUUGGGCGUAAAGAGCUCGUAGGCGGUUCAACAAGUCGGUCGUGAAAGUUCAGGGCUCAACCCUGAAAUGUCGAUCGAUACUGUUGUGACUAGGAUACGGUAGAGGUGAGUGGAAUUCCGAGUGUAGCGGUGAAAUGCGUAGAUAUUCGGAGGAACACCAAUUGCGAAGGCAGCUCACUGGACCGCUAUCGACGCUGAGGAGCGAAAGCUAGGGGAGCAAACAGGAUUAGAUACCCUGGUAGUCCUAGCUGUAAACGAUGGAUACUAGACGUAGG